GACGAACGCUGGCGGCGUGCUUAACACAUGCAAGUCGAACGGAAAGGCCCUGCUUUUGUGGGGUGCUCGAGUGGCGAACGGGUGAGUAACACGUGAGUAACCUGCCCUUGACUUUGGGAUAACUUCAGGAAACUGGGGCUAAUACCGGAUAGGAGCUCCUGCUGCAUGGUGGGGGUUGGAAAGUUUCGGCGGUUGGGGAUGGACUCGCGGCUUAUCAGCUUGUUGGUGGGGUAGUGGCUUACCAAGGCUUUGACGGGUAGCCGGCCUGAGAGGGUGACCGGCCACAUUGGGACUGAGAUACGGCCCAAACUCCUACGGGAGGCAGCAGUGGGGAAUAUUGCACAAUGGGCGGAAGCCUGAUGCAUCAACGCCGCGUGCGGGAUGACGGCCUUCGGGUUGUAAACCGCUUUCGCCUGUGACGAAUCGUGAGUGACGGUAAUGGGUAAAGAAGCACCGGCUAACUACGUGCCAGCAGCCGCGGUGAUACGUAGGGUGCGAGCGUUGUCCGGAUUUAUUGGGCGUAAAGGGCUCGUAGGUGGUUGAUCGCGUCGGAAGUGUAAUCUUGGGGCUUAACCCUGAGCGUGCUUUCGAUACGGGUUGACUUGAGGAAGGUAGGGGAGAAUGGAAUUCCUGGUGGAGCGGUGGAAUGCGCAGAUAUCAGGAGGAACACCAGUGGCGAAGGCGGUUCUCUGGGCCUUUCCUGACGCUGAGGAGCGAAAGCGUGGGGAGCGAACAGGCUUAGAUACCCUGGUAGUCCACGCUGUAAACGGUGGGUACUAGGUGUGGGGUCCAUUCCACGGGUUCCGUGCCGUAGCUAACGCUUUAAGUACCCCGCCUGGGGAGUACGGCCGCAAGGCUAAAACUCAAAGGAAUUGACGGGGCCCCGCACAAGCGGCGGAGCAUGCGGAUUAAUUCGAUGCAACGCGUAGAACCUUACCUGGGUUUGACAUGGAUCGGGAGUGCUCAGAGAUGGGUGUGCCUCUUUUGGGGUCGGUUCACAGGUGGUGCAUGGCUGUCGUCAGCUCGUGUCGUGAGAUGUUGGGUUAAGUCCCGCAACGAGCGCAACCCUUGUUCACUGUUGCCAGCACGUUAUGGUGGGGACUCAGUGGAGACCGCCGGGGUCAACUCGGAGGAAGGUGGGGAUGACGUCAAGUCAUCAUGCCCCUUAUGUCCAGGGCUUCACGCAUGCUACAAUGGCUGGUACAGAGAGUGGCGAGCCUGUGAGGGUGAGCGAAUCUCGGAAAGCCGGUCUCAGUUCGGAUUGGGGUCUGCAACUCGACCUCAUGAAGUCGGAGUCGCUAGUAAUCGCAGAUCAGCAACGCUGCGGAGAAAAAGUUCCCGGGGCU
RNAcentral lists this ribosomal RNA (1346 nucleotides) under uncultured bacterium. Its description in RNAcentral is "partial 16S ribosomal RNA". It matches the Rfam family "Bacterial small subunit ribosomal RNA", at positions 28 to 1381 of the family's 1533-position model. The record is from RNAcentral.